AUGGAGGACGUGGCCGUGGCUGCGCUCGCCACGGCGCCCACACCUGUGUUUAGCCCCGCCACGGCCGGGCUCACGCUAAUCGCCGCCGCGGCUGCGGAACCGAUUGCGGCCGUUGUGGCGGGGGCCAUGGAGGGGGUGCCGGUCAGCUUUUCAGUGCCGCCGGUCAGAACCACCACGGACGACGGGCUGCCAACAGCAACAGGAGGGGAAUGGGGAGAGGCCUCGGCAGCGGGGAGCCCGUGCUCGGUCACCAGCGACUGCAGCAGCGUGGCAAGCGCGGAUUUCGAGGGGGUGGGUCUGGGCUUCUUCGGUGCGGGGGUCGAGGGGGGCGCGGUGGUGUUCGAGGACUCGGCGGCUUCUGCGGCCACCGUCGAGGCGGAGGCGAGGGUCGCGGCCGGGGGGAGGAGCGUCUUCGCUGUCGAAUGCGUUCCGCUCUGGGGGUUUACAUCAAUUUGCGGCCGCCGCCCGGAGAUGGAGGAUGCGGUCGUCGCUGUGCCGCGAUUCUUCGGCUUGCCCCUCUGGAUGCUCACGGGCAACAAUAUGGUCGAUGGACUCGAUCCCAUCUCCUUCCGCCUCCCCGCCCACUUUUUUGGUGUAUAUGAUGGCCACGGCGGUGCACAGGUAGCAGAUUACUGUCGGGAUCGGCUCCACGCAGCGCUGGUGGAGGAGUUGAGCAGGAUAGAAGGGUCCGCUAACCUGGGAGCUGUGGAGUUCAAGAAGCAGUGGGAGAAGGCGUUUGUGGAUUGCUUCUCAAGGGUGGAUGAUGAGAUAGCCGGUAAGGCGACCAGGGGAGGAGGGGGAAACGUGGGCACAAGCAGUGUCACUGCAAUGGCCAUGGCAGAUCCUAUAGCACCUGAGACCGUCGGUUCAACGGCGGUGGUCGCUGUCAUCUGCUCAUCUCAUAUCAUUGUCUCAAAUUGUGGAGACUCGAGGGCAGUGCUCUGCCGUGGCAAGCAACCCGUGCCGUUGUCAGUGGAUCAUAAACCUAAUAGGGAGGAUGAGUACGCAAGGAUUGAGGCAGAGGGUGGCAAGGUCAUACAGUGGAAUGGCUACCGAGUUUUCGGUGUCCUUGCCAUGUCGCGAUCAAUUGGUGACAGAUAUCUGAAACCAUGGAUAAUUCCUGUCCCAGAGGUCACAAUUGUUCCUCGGGCGAAGGAUGAUGAGUGCCUUAUUCUUGCCAGUGAUGGCCUCUGGGAUGUACUGUCGAAUGAAGAGGUAUGCGAUGUUGCCCGCAAGCGAAUACUCUUAUGGCAUAAAAAGAACGGGGUAAACUUAUCAUCGGCCCAACGUAGCGGUGACUCCCCAGAUCCAGCGGCUCAAGCAGCUGCUGAAUGCUUGUCGAAGCUUGCUCUCCAGAAGGGGAGCAAGGACAACAUCACGGUUAUUGUGGUAGACCUCAAGGCGCAGAGGAAGUUCAAGAGCAAAACUUAA
Molecule: ribosomal RNA, 1431 nt
Filed under: Triticum aestivum (bread wheat)
Lineage: Eukaryota; Viridiplantae; Streptophyta; Magnoliopsida; Poales; Poaceae
Description: partial small subunit ribosomal RNA
Source: RNAcentral